CUGCUCACUGAUUAUUAAAGAGCUGCAAUAUUCUUAAUUGUGCUAAGGUAGCAAAAUAAUUUGUUUAUUAAUUGUAAACUGGAAUGAAAGAUUUAACAUAUUUAUAUCUUUUUUAAUAUUAUAUAUAAAAUUUAUUUUUAAAGUGCAAAAACUUUAAUGAUUUUAAUAGAGGAUAAGACCCUAAGAAUUUAUUUUAUUUUUUUUUUUAAAAUUUUGUAUUUUAAAAUUAGUUGGGGUGACUAUUAGAUUUUUAAAUUCUAAUUUUUUGUAUACUGCAUCAGUUUAAUUGAAUAUUAUUAUUUAAAAGUUUAAUUACCUUAGGGAUAACAGCGUUAUACUCAUUUAUAGUUCUUAUAGGAAUGUGUGUUUGCGACCUCGAUGUUGGAUUAAGUUUAAUUUUGGAGUAUAAACUAAUAAUACGAGUCUGUUCG
RNAcentral lists this ribosomal RNA (431 nucleotides) under Sacculina oblonga. RNAcentral's name for it is "partial 16S ribosomal RNA". Lineage: Eukaryota; Metazoa; Arthropoda; Thecostraca; Sacculinidae. The record is from RNAcentral.